This is a long non-coding RNA of Lathyrus oleraceus (garden pea), 1257 nucleotides long. RefSeq lists it as uncharacterized. NCBI's taxonomy places the organism in Eukaryota, Viridiplantae, Streptophyta, Magnoliopsida, Fabales, Fabaceae. The transcript is spliced from 4 exons. The record is from RefSeq and is a predicted model, not a curated record.
UUGCUCACGUGGGACAAACGAUUCAAAUGAAUUGAAUUUAAAUGAAAACAUAAAAAUGCACACAGGGUCACAAUUUAUCAACUCCGGCCAUGCUCAGCUGAAGCCAACGUGGGCCACCGUGUUGGAAAUUGCCUCUAGCGGCGGUGGCCACCAGAAACGAAAAUUGCCUCCAUCAUCAACUUCGUCUUGUCCCUCUCUCGCUGAAUCUCCCCUUUAUUUCAUGAAAUCUUACACCUAAUCCCAAAACCUAAUCAAGUCCCCCAAGAACCAUAACCACUCAGUCUUAAAUUAAUCCCUCGGCUCAAAGAACCAGAGCCCAGGGGAUUGGGACUCCGAUUCUCCUACUCUCUCUCCCUCUCUUUCUACAUCAUGGUGACAAAGAAUUGAAUAAAAGAAGGAAUUUUGAGAUUCACCUAGCCGGAGGUGACGACGACGAUGGAACCUCUUUUUCUAGAUUUGGUUUACAGCACCAAUAUGUUCUGCAACAUGUUCUGAUUGCCAUUCUGACUUAGGUGAUUUCAUCUCAUGCCUUGCCCUGGUCUUGUAGGUCAUGUAUACAUGUUCUGACUUGUGAUUGCAUUGCAUUCUGACUUGGUUUCAUGCUUGCAUAGCUUCAUGGUUGGUGUUCUGCAGCAUGGCACUGCAGCGGGUACAUUAUGGUUCUGAUGUGUUUAAUUGCAGAAUGGCUUUUUCCUGACCUUGCUUAAUUUGUGCAGGAUUACAUGUCCAUGUUUUAGGUACAUAAUUGUUUUAAAUAAUGAAUUUAGUUGAAGUGAGGUCAGAUUUUAUUAUGUUGCAAACGGACUUGUUGUACUGCAGGUCUGAUGCAAAGUUGCAACAAGGAUCUACAAUUGGUUGCCAUGCACUACAACUUGCUACAACAGCAAGUACGGGCAGGCUAGUCAUGGAAGUAUGGUUUGGAUGGUCAAGUGCAAGGUUUAUUGCAAGCUUAUUGUGUUAUUUUGAUAGCUUGUAAAGGUUUGUGGAAAUGAACGUGACAUGGACAAUGUUACUUGUAAAUAAAGAAAUCGGAAUGGAAGCAAGCUAACAUGAAUUUUGGAUGAUAAAUCAAGGCCCAUGGGGGGAAUUAGGAUUAGGUUUGGGAAAUUAGGGUUUUAGGAUUUUAGGGUUGACUUUGGUCAAAGUUGACCUCAACAUUUGAUCAAAAUUUCCAUUUCUUAUAAUUUUCCAUACUUUUGACAUUUUCAUGCUUGUAAUGAAUGGAAUUGACAUAUAAUGGAUUAUAUUUUAAUGGAA